Molecule: long non-coding RNA, 1232 nt
Organism: Camelus dromedarius (Arabian camel)
Lineage: Eukaryota; Metazoa; Chordata; Mammalia; Artiodactyla; Camelidae
Exons: 2
Source: RefSeq, a predicted model, not a curated record
AGAUAGUCCUGGGCCAGCAUGUGAAUAUAUCCAAACUCGCCGUCAGUCAUGGUCUUCCUGCUGGAGAGCCAAGCCUUGAGCUUACUCGCCUGGAAGUGACCGAGGCAGUCCGAAACGAAAGCUCACAGAGCUUGGCGAGGUGGAGUAACUUUUACUCUUUGCAACAGUGUCUAUGAACAGCUGCAAACAGAAGGGAAAAAAAUCUCACGUAACUUGUAUUUCUGAACUAUCAGUAAAGGUCUAAGGAGAAAGGGAGAGAGGCUGCUGAGGGUGCUGGUUCACAGGGACUUGCAGUGGCCAUGAAAAUGCACCUCUCAGACCUUGUACCACAGGAAUGUCAUUAACUCAGGGCCCCAGGUGCUGGGCCCUGGAUCUACGGACAAAAUUUGCACUGAGGCCACGCCACCCUCAGGCUGUCCUCAGGCAACGACUUAGCAAGGCAGGACUAGUAAGAGCGGUUCCUGUAAGUCAGCCUCCUUUGCAAGGUUACUUUGAUUCAAUGACUUGCCAUCAGCUUUGUGGUGACUUUUCUAGACUGUCCUACAGCCUGAGACUCUUCCUACCCAACCUUCCUUCCUUCUCUCCCCUCUUCACCCAGGUCAGCCCUGCACUGUGGUCUGACAGCUCCCCCAGCCGCUUCCACCUCCCUCCCCAUUUUCCCUCAUGGGCAUUCCCCCACCCCCGCCCCGCAACGGCUCUUACACAUCUGAUCCUUGCUUGAGAUUUUCUUGGUGGAGUUCUAAACUGACAUGGGACCUACAGAACAAAGGAGCUUACAGACAUGUGGUCAAGCCACUUCUCCAGGAUUUCCCCUGAGAACGCCCUCCCCUCCCCUCCUAGACGACGCCUGUUGGCCCACAGGCACAUGAAACCAUGUGCAGGCAGCUCUCUCUCCUCAAAUCACCUUCAAGCAUCAUAAGAACCACCAGAAGGAUGGGAAAUUUUAUUUUCUCCCCCCAUUACAUUCCCAGGGUGAUGAGCAUUUCUGGAGAAACAGUGUAGUAAUAAGCAUGUGGAUUAAGAGUUGCAACGAAGCUUUCCAAGAUCAGAGCCUGCCUUUUUUCUCUCCCUUGCCAGUGCCCACGCCUGGACCUAGGGGAGGCAGGCAGUUGAUCUUUGUUGAACAAAUGAAACGCACACGUAUCGCAGCUGGACCAGCUACAUUUAGGGCUCUAUAUUCCUAAUCCUCCGGAUCCCAAAAGGAGUUGCUUUUAAAAUUCUUAAAUAUUGAA